AUGGAUUGUAUUAAUCUGAAUAUUGUUUGUUGGAACGUACGUGGCCUAAAUGCAGGCGCACGACGUUCUACUGUAAGAGAGUCGGUCGUUGCCGCGCAAGCGGAUGUGGUUUGUUUACCAGAAACUAAAAUUGAGAAUUUCUCCCCUUACUUGGUUUGGCAAUUUCUUGGAGCAAAGUUUGAUGAGUACCGCUUCCUGCCCGCUAAUGGGACACGCGGGGGGAUUCUAGUUGUUUGGAACCCCUCGAAAGUAACCGUAGAUUCUGAUUUCAUUGGUGAAUUCUGUCUCGGUUAG
This 294-nucleotide ribosomal RNA is filed under the name Triticum aestivum (bread wheat). RNAcentral describes it as "partial small subunit ribosomal RNA". The record is from RNAcentral. Lineage: Eukaryota; Viridiplantae; Streptophyta; Magnoliopsida; Poales; Poaceae.